Molecule: long non-coding RNA, 651 nt
Organism: Perca fluviatilis (European perch)
Lineage: Eukaryota; Metazoa; Chordata; Actinopteri; Perciformes; Percidae
Exons: 3
Source: RefSeq, a predicted model, not a curated record
GACAGCCAUACCGAGCUGCUGGAGGAGAGACAGGGGAUGGAGAGAAAAGAAAGAGGGAGAAAUGGAAGAAAAAGAGUAGGAGAUGCAGUGGGAAGGGAAGUAUGAGAGUUAGAAAAGAAGAAAGAAAGAAAGAAAGAAGGAAGUGGGAAACAGUAGAGGACAGUAGCAGGAGAAAGAGAGAGAGAGAGAGAGGGAUAGUUUUGAGGGAUAGUGAACCUACUGUAGAUGAAGGCGCUGUCAGAGCAUCAGCCCUCAGGGACCGCCGGGGGGCCCUGGACCGGCUGAGAGGGAGGACGUGACUGCUUCUGCUGCCUGUUCACGUCAACAUGUGCAGAUAAAGGUGGAGUCAUGGUAUGUCAUCAGCCUCAUGUGAGUGAGCAGUGGAGAAAGCUGCCGUCCAGUGGAGACGCCUAUGCUGCUCCCCGGCCCCCCUUUUAGCCUCUCUGUCCAGUUAGGGGGUUUCUGGUUGGGAACCAGCUUCCCUAACACUGCGGUCAGUGGAAGACAUCAGGUGAGUAUUCUCCGUCCACUACUGCAGAUCGAUGCUCUCUAUCUCUGGCUUGUUUCUGUCCCUGAGUCGGUGGCGACGAUGCCUCUGAGAUGGACCCCCCCCCCCAGUGUGGGAGUGUGUGUGCGGGUGGCGAGGGUCAG